Mauremys reevesii (Reeves's turtle) is the source of this 1860-nucleotide long non-coding RNA. RefSeq lists it as uncharacterized. The record is from RefSeq and is a predicted model, not a curated record. The transcript is spliced from 2 exons. Lineage: Eukaryota; Metazoa; Chordata; Testudines; Geoemydidae.
UGCUGAUUUACAUCAGCUGAGAAUCUGGCCCUAAGUGUUUCUGUGGUUUCUGUUGGACAUAGUUGACAUGGGGAUGGUACUGUGUAAGGCAGUGGAUUACAGACAGAAUAAUUACUUUUCAUAAGAGCAAACCAAGCCUGGAGGGAAGGAGCAAGAAAGUGCUCUCUCUUGUUUUCCUCAUAUCAGCUGCUUCCUAUAUCAUGUGGGAACCAGAAGCCCGUUGGCGGUUGUUUCCAGCUCACCCUUCAGCUUCUUCAAAAGACUCAGGACUUGGGAGUGACAGCUCCUCAAUUGGAAAGGAGAAGUUCAUGGUCGAUUCUUCUGGCUUGUAGCCGGAGCUCUGUGCAUGCUGGGUAACGGGGGAUGACUGAAUGAUGAUGCUGAACCGGCUGUGGAGGGGCUUCACCAGUUUGGACCUCUAUUAAGAGCCAGUUAUUGUGUCAAAAAAAAAAGUGAAACUGCAUGCACUUCUCAACAAUAUGUAAAAUUAACAAAUAGGUAAAUUAUGUUCCCAUCUUUGCUUCCACGUGAUAUCCCAAUUUUUUUCCUCCUUAAACCUCAUUACUCAUAUGCCUCUACUAGUUUAAUUUUGUCUUCUUUUCUAACCUUUACAUAGCACAUUGCACAAAAUAGUGAUUUUUUCCAGGCAUGCAACCUUGUUCUGAGUUGUUUCCCAUAUUCAGCAAUGUAUUAUGUAGGGGCCAUAGGAAAAACAUUACCUUUUCAGAGACCAGGAUAAUUUUUUUUUGUAAAUAUUAAUGAACAGCAUAGCUUAUAGUUUUCCCACAAAAGAAUACGAAUACUUGGUAUUCUGUGAAUUGGGAAACUAAUCAUAUGAUAUAUAAGUCAUAUCUAUUCAUUCCUCUGGGGAUAGAAUUCAAAUUAUCUUUCUAUGGAUAUACACAGUGUACAUUUUGUUUUCUACCUCACCCACUGUAUUAUUAGUUUAGGAGAUCCUCCCAGAAUAGUGCUUGAAGAGUUGUUCUGUUAAUCAAAUUUAUUAUGUAUUCCCCAGAAUAAAAAUUACCCAACUACUUAUCAGCGCUUUAUGAAAUGGACUCUAGGUGGCUAAAAUCCUGUUUCAUCAUUUCAUAUUGCAAAUCACUGUUAACGAAAAACAGGAAGAAGAUGCUACAAGAAUUUAUGCAAACUCUUUGUAUGUGUUUAAUAGCCCUUCAGCUUGUCUGUGUGCUAAUUUUAGUAAUACCAUAACUUUAAAAUAAGGUAUUAUAUUCAAUUAUUCUUUUGCUCUGAUGUAUUAGUGAGAAAAAGAAUCCUAGAACAGAGCUCCAUUAAUUUUUAUUUUUUCUAGCUAAUGUAAAUGUUUAGAUGUGUUAUAGUGAAGACAACACUCUUAAAAUAUCCAGAAAGCAGAAAAAAAAAUCAGUAAAUAUACUACCUCCAUGUCACACAUGUACUUCCACUUCUGUGACUCUCUUUACAUGUUAAAUCAGUUUUAUGGGUCAAAUCAAGUCCUGAAAUUCCCAACUAUACUGAAUAUCAAGAAUUUGUCCCAGGAUCUCUGCAGGGAAGCUGUGACCUCUGAGUGUCUGACAACAAUUAGUUAGUUUAUUCUCCCAUCAUUGUAUACAAGGGAAGUAUUAUCCCCAAAUGACAAACUGGCAUGAUAAAGGUGGGGACACAACAAGAUGGCAGUGACUUGCUCAGUAUCACAUAGGAAAUCUGUAUUGAAGUUGCAAACUGAACCCAAUUUCUUGAGGCCCUACUAAUGUGGUACCUUAACCUUCAGACCAUUCUUUCUCUCUGUUGACACAAUUGUAUGUAAUGAAUCUGGAGAUCUGCCUGCUAUUCCCUGCUCUGUCAGUGACUUUGGUGUAAUAAACUUAUUUUUCUGAUUAA